UACGGGGGGGGCAAGCGUUGUUCGGAAUUACUGGGCGUAAAGGGUUUGUAGGUGGCUUGUUAAGUCAGACGUGAAAUCCCUCAGCUUAACUGGGGAACUGCGUCUGAUACUGGCGAGCUUGAGUGCAGGAGAGGAACGCGGAAUUCCAGGUGUAGCGGUGAAAUGCGUAGAUAUCUGGAGGAACACCGGUGGCGAAAGCGGCUCACUGGACCCGAUCUGACACUGAGGUGCGAAAGCUAGGGUAGCAAACGGG
This 253-nucleotide ribosomal RNA is filed under the name uncultured bacterium. RNAcentral describes it as "partial 16S ribosomal RNA". It matches the Rfam family "Bacterial small subunit ribosomal RNA", at positions 524 to 776 of the family's 1533-position model. The record is from RNAcentral.